This 342-nucleotide unclassified non-coding RNA is filed under the name soil metagenome. RNAcentral describes it as "partial contains 5.8S ribosomal RNA, internal transcribed spacer 2, and large subunit ribosomal RNA". The stretch from base 1 to 120 matches the Rfam family "5.8S ribosomal RNA", at positions 35 to 154 of the family's 154-position model. The record is from RNAcentral.
GAUGAAGAACGCAGCGAAAUGCGAUAAGUAAUGUGAAUUGCAGAAUUCAGUGAAUCAUCGAAUCUUUGAACGCACAUUGCGCCCGCUAGUAUUCUGGCGGGCAUGCCUGUCCGAGCGUCAUUUCAACCCUCAAGCCCCCGGACUUGGUGUUGGGGAUCGGCGAGCCUCCGCGCCCGCCGUCCCCUAAAUCUAGUGGCGGUCUCGCUGUAGCUUCCUCUGCGUAGUAGCACACCUCGCACUGGGAAACAGCGCGGCCACGCCGUUAAACCCCCAACUUCUGAACGUUUGACCUCGGAUCAGGUAGGAAUACCCGCUGAACUUAAGCAAUCAAUAAGCGGAGGA